GGGGUACCGGGGCCGGGGACACCGGGACCGGGUCACACACAGGCGGCGGCGGCUGGCCCCCAGCCAGGUGGGACCCUGCCAGCGCGCGGAUGCCUGAGCUGCCGCCCCGCUGCCCUGCUCCUGGCUACCCGGCACCAGUUCUUCAGUGGCAAGCUUUAUGUCCUCUUCUAGUAGCUAAAGCUGCCAGUUGAAGAACUGUUGAAUGUAGCCACUCUCUUCUCGCCACCGAGGCGCUGGACGUCGGCUGCGCCUGUGCCCCGAGAGACC
Molecule: long non-coding RNA, 267 nt
Organism: Oxyura jamaicensis (ruddy duck)
Lineage: Eukaryota; Metazoa; Chordata; Aves; Anseriformes; Anatidae
Exons: 3
Source: RefSeq, a predicted model, not a curated record